RNAcentral lists this ribosomal RNA (617 nucleotides) under Pluralibacter gergoviae. Its description in RNAcentral is "partial 23S ribosomal RNA". It matches the Rfam family "Bacterial large subunit ribosomal RNA", at positions 1273 to 1874 of the family's 2925-position model. The record is from RNAcentral. Lineage: Bacteria; Pseudomonadati; Pseudomonadota; Gammaproteobacteria; Enterobacterales; Enterobacteriaceae.
CUGGAGGUAUCAGAAGUGCGAAUGCUGACAUAAGUAACGAUAAAGCGGGUGAAAAGCCCGCUCGCCGGAAGACCAAGGGUUCCUGUCCAACGUUAAUCGGGGCAGGGUGAGUCGACCCCUAAGGCGAGGCCGAAAGGCGUAGUCGAUGGGAAACAGGUUAAUAUUCCUGUACUUGGUGUUACUGCGAAGGGGGGACGGAGAAGGCUAUGUUAGCCGGGCGACGGUUGUCCCGGUUUAAGCAUGUAGGCGGAGGUUCCAGGUAAAUCCGGUACCUUUUAACGCUGAGGUGUGAUGACGAGGCACUACGGUGCUGAAGUAACAAAUGCCCUGCUUCCAGGAAAAGCCUCUAAGCAUCAGGUAACACGAAAUCGUACCCCAAACCGACACAGGUGGUCAGGUAGAGAAUACCAAGGCGCUUGAGAGAACUCGGGUGAAGGAACUAGGCAAAAUGGUGCCGUAACUUCGGGAGAAGGCACGCUGACAUGUAGGUGAAGCCCCUGCGGGUGGAGCUGAAGUCAGUCGAAGAUACCAGCUGGCUGCAACUGUUUAUUAAAAACACAGCACUGUGCAAACACGAAAGUGGACGUAUACGGUGUGACGCCUGCCCGGUGCCGGAA